This is a long non-coding RNA of Arabidopsis lyrata subsp. lyrata, 907 nucleotides long. RefSeq lists it as uncharacterized. The transcript is spliced from 5 exons. NCBI's taxonomy places the organism in Eukaryota, Viridiplantae, Streptophyta, Magnoliopsida, Brassicales, Brassicaceae. The record is from RefSeq and is a predicted model, not a curated record.
AUUAAGAUUAUAUGAAACAAAAUUAUCUCCUGGUAUAUUGCGGGUUAAAUCUUAGUACUAACAUAAAUGUGGGAAAAAAAAAAAAACCAGGUUUGUGAAAGGAAGAAGCUUAAUUAGUCGGUUUAAUCUCUUGGAAUGCCUUCCAUUUCGGUUAUUGUAUAAUUGGUAUUGGUACGACAAAAUCUGGUAAUUGUAAGGCAUUUUGCCAUUUCUAAAAACCUAAUCAAUCAAACACAAAUUAUCUUCAUCUCUUUCUCUCUCUCGUGUUCAUCAUUGAAUCCCAGAUUUUCCAUUAUUCUUCAACAAUUGUUGCGAAUUUUGGGAUUGGCUGAAGCAAUUCCGAUUGCACAACAAUGGCUUCUCGUAUCAUCAUCAAUCAUUCCAAAAAGGUUGAUGAAUAUGGACUUCAUUAUAUCAUACUUUUUUAACAUGGACCAUUUAAAGAUCAAGUUAUCAUAAUUUCAACAAACACACGAAGAUGAAGCUGUCAACUCAAAGAGUAAUCUUUGCCCCCUAAGACAUAAAACAUAUCAAGUUAGUUAAUAAGAAAAAGGAUCUUAAACUUGGACGCACCAUGCGGCUUUGUAAGGUCUCAAAUAUCAAAUCUCUGAGAUUGGAAUAUGAAGCAGCCACUGAUUCUAGAAAGGCUUCUCUUAUCGUGUUUAAAGGUAAACGUUGUGGUGAUGUGAUAAUUUUUUCUGUUAGCGAAAACAUAUUUAUAGAUGUCAUAGUCUCUUGGCGUUAGGUUAGAGAAUUUAAGAAAAUCGUGUGGAGAAAGUAUAGGAUAUCUUCACAAAUCUUUGAUUCGAUAAUAUAUAGAAUAUGCUUUGUAGAAUAUGCUUUGUAGAUGCUUCAUCAAAAUUAAGAACAAAUCGUUUGAUUUAUGCUAUAUUUCCCAUUGAUGUUA